Molecule: ribosomal RNA, 333 nt
Filed under: Gemmatimonadaceae bacterium
Lineage: Bacteria; Pseudomonadati; Gemmatimonadota; Gemmatimonadia; Gemmatimonadales; Gemmatimonadaceae
Description: partial 23S ribosomal RNA
Rfam family: Bacterial large subunit ribosomal RNA
Source: RNAcentral
AUGAGCUGGGUUCAGAACGUCGUGAGACAGUUCGGUCUGUAUCCGCUGUGGGCGUUGGAGAGUUGAGGGGUGCGGACUCUAGUACGAGAGGACCGAGUCGGACGAUCCGCUCGUGUCCCGGCUGUCACGCCAGUGGCACCGCCGGGUAGCGAUGAUCGGCACGGAUAACCGCUGAAAGCAUCUAAGUGGGAAGCCGUCCCCAAGAUGAACUCUCCCUGGGACCUUGAGUCCCCUGAAGGGCCGUGGGAGACCACCACGUCGAUAGGUGGGGAGUGGAAAGGCAGCAAUGCCCUCCGAGCUAACCCAUCCUAAUCGCCCGUGCGGCUUGACUAC